This 62-nucleotide transfer RNA is filed under the name Cuneopsis celtiformis. Its description in RNAcentral is "tRNA-Met". Lineage: Eukaryota; Metazoa; Mollusca; Bivalvia; Unionida; Unionidae. The record is from RNAcentral.
GAUAAGGUAAGCUAAAUUAAGCUAGUGGGCUCAUAACCCAAAAAUGACAAUCUCCCUUAUUG